UGGGGAAUAUUGGACAAUGGGCGAAAGCCUGAUCCAGCCAUGCCGCGUGUGUGAAGAAGGUCUUCGGAUUGUAAAGCACUUUAAGUUGGGAGGAAGGGCAGUAAGCGAAUACCUUGCUGUUUUGACGUUACCGACAGAAUAAGCACCGGCUAACUCUGUGCCAGCAGCCGCGGUAAUACAGAGGGUGCAAGCGUUAAUCGGAAUUACUGGGCGUAAAGCGCGCGUAGGUGGUUCGUUAAGUUGAAUGUGAAAGCCCCGGGCUCAACCUGGGAACUGCAUCCAAAACUGGCGAGCUAGAGUAGGGCAGAGGGUGGUGGAAGUUCCUGUGUAGCGGUGAAAUACGUAGAUAUAGGAAGGAACACCAGUGGCGAAGGCGACCACCUGGGCUCAUACUGACACUGAGGUGCGAAAGCGUGGGGAGCAAACAGG
RNAcentral lists this ribosomal RNA (429 nucleotides) under Pseudomonadota bacterium. RNAcentral's name for it is "Proteobacteria bacterium partial 16S ribosomal RNA". It matches the Rfam family "Bacterial small subunit ribosomal RNA", at positions 355 to 776 of the family's 1533-position model. Lineage: Bacteria; Pseudomonadati; Pseudomonadota. The record is from RNAcentral.